RNAcentral lists this long non-coding RNA (1453 nucleotides) under Homo sapiens (human). RNAcentral describes it as "HSALNT0024592". The record is from RNAcentral. Lineage: Eukaryota; Metazoa; Chordata; Mammalia; Primates; Hominidae.
GCUUGAAGGAACCUGCUUGAGGGAACCUGCUUGAGGGAACGUGUGUGAACCUACCUGCUUGUUGAUUAAUUAUUAUGUCCUUCAAGCAUGAAUUAAUUAACACCGUAUGGUUGUUAUGUGGGUUCGGAAUAUUCAAUAUAAGCUCAGCUUCUACAAUUGAUUUAAGUAGGAAUCAAAUCGGAGUACGUCUACAGAGGAUUCAGAGGGGACCAGGCCUUCCGCGAUGAAUUUUUCUUACAAGAAACCCUUGGAGGAAAAGUACCCUGCAAAAUAUCAAGAAGUACAAACAACACUGUGAAGAAGAACUUCUGUGAAGAAGAAAUGGUAAGGGUUAAAGGGAAAAGGAUUCCACCAGUUUGGGAAAUCUGGGAAGAUAGAUAUACAAUGCUACAUCAGAAGUGCGAGGACUGAGUUUAUUCACAGCUGGAAAAGAGUCCGCAUCAAAGCAAAGACAAGAGUAUUACACUCUUCAAAUUGUAGCUUAGAGCAGUGUACUAAUGGGCCCUCUUCUGGGGCAUGGUGUCUGAAAGGACAUGUGUUUACAGAAACUCAGAGGUUGUAUUUAUUUCCACAGCAUCAUAUUUAAAGAGAUCAUAGGGUGAUGAAACAGAAGUUCUGCAGCAUAUGUAAAGAGAUGUUUUACAGAUAAAGGAAUAGUCCACAUCCGGAGUUCCUCUGCCUAUGUGAAUCCUGAGUUACUGGAUUUUUACAAUUUUUCUCCUUUUCAUAAAUCCAUUUAGUUUAUUGAACACAUGGUAUGUUCAUGAUUAGAAUGAAAUUGCCAGGAACACAGGACUUUGUUUUAUUCACACUUGAAUCCCCAGUGCCUAGAAGAAUACCUGGAAUAUAUUAAAAGCUCAAUAAAUAUGUGAGCACUUGAAUUAAUUGGUGACUGCCAAACUAUGUGCUGUAGAGGAAAUAAGAGGUGAUUGAAAUAUAGUUCUUUUCUUUUUAAAAAUUAUUAAUUGACACAUAAAAAUAGUACAUAUUUAUGAGCAACGGUGUGAUAUUUUGAUUCAUGUAUACAAUAUGCAAUGAUCAAAUCAGGAUAAUUAGCGUAUCUAUCACUUUAAACAUUUAUUAUUUCUUUGUGUUCAGAACAUCCAAAAUUCUCUCAUCUAGCUAUUUGAAAACACACAAUAAAUUAUUAUUAACUAUAGUCACCCUACAGUGGUAUAGAACACUAGAACUUAUUCCUCCUAAGUAGCUGUAAUUUUUUCAUAUAGUUCUUUUCUCCAUGAAGCUUAUUGUCUUUGUUUUUAGGGACUGGAGCCAUUUAAGAGUGGAUUAUUUUUGAAAAGUGUGAUCAUAAUUCUAAAAGUCACUGAAGUUUUCAUUGUGUUCUUGGCUUACCCAUGGGAUAAACUAGUUUCUCAUCCUCUGUCACUGUACACUCCAGUAACAUCUAUCCUUGCUUAAUGUGAAGUGACUUAAAAUGAGAUUAUAAUGCAGA